This 76-nucleotide small RNA is filed under the name Xanthomonas sp. 3075. RNAcentral describes it as "sRNA sX9". It matches the Rfam family "Xanthomonas sRNA sX9". Lineage: Bacteria; Pseudomonadati; Pseudomonadota; Gammaproteobacteria; Lysobacterales; Lysobacteraceae. The record is from RNAcentral.
GUGUAUCGUUCGUACACGUCGGUUCCUUCGCGCCGUCCGCACCCACCUGACGACCGCUCGCUCCGUUUUGUUAGCC